RNAcentral lists this ribosomal RNA (495 nucleotides) under uncultured bacterium. RNAcentral describes it as "partial 16S ribosomal RNA". It matches the Rfam family "Bacterial small subunit ribosomal RNA", at positions 30 to 523 of the family's 1533-position model. The record is from RNAcentral.
AUUGAACGCUGGCGGCAGGCCUAACACACGCAAGUCGAGCGCGAAAGUCUUCGGAUGAGUAAAGCGGCGGACGGGUGAGUAAUGCAUGGGAAUCUGCCUGGUAGUGGGGGACAACGUUUCGAAAGAGACGCUAAUACCGCAUACGCCCUACGGGGGAAAGGGGGGGAUCUUCGGACCUCUCGCUAUCAGUUGAGCCCAUGUCAGAUUAGCUAGUUGGUAGGGUAAAGGCCUACCAAGGCGACGAUCUGUAACUGGUCUGAGAGGAUGAUCAGUCACACUGGAACGGAGACACGGUCCAGACUCCUACGGGAGGCAGCAGUGGGGAAUAUUGGACAAUGGGGGAAACCCUGAUCCAGCCAUGCCGCGUGUGUGAAGAAGGCCCUAGGGUUGUAAAGCACUUUCAGUGGGGAGAAAGGUUAUUCACCUAAUACGUGAGUAAAUUGAUGCUACCCACAGAAGAAGCACCGGCUAACUCCGUGCCAGCAGCCGCGGUAA